This 835-nucleotide non-coding RNA is filed under the name Minervarya keralensis (Kerala wart frog). Its description in RNAcentral is "partial 12S ribosomal RNA". It matches the Rfam family "Bacterial small subunit ribosomal RNA". Lineage: Eukaryota; Metazoa; Chordata; Amphibia; Anura; Dicroglossidae. The record is from RNAcentral.
CCUGUCCUUAUUAUCAGUUGUCUCUCAACUUACACAUGCAAGUCUCAGCACCCCCGUGAGGAAGCCCUUUACCCCUACACCAGAAUAAGGAGCAGGUAUCAGGCACAAUCUUUUGCCCACGACACCUAGUUUAACCACGCCCCCAAGGGUAGUCAGCAGUGAUAAACAUUGUCUAUAAGCGACAGCUUGACUCAGUCAGAGAGAAGAAAGUUGGCCAACUCGGUGCCAGCCGCCGCGGUUAGACCUAAGAACUUGAAUUGAUAUCAGUCGGCGUUAAGCGUGGUUAAAGAUCUUGAAUAGUUAGAGUUAAACCUCUGCCUAGCUGUAAAAAAGCGCGCAUGACGGAAAGCCACAAACGAAAGUUACUCUAAUACACUACUUGAACCCACGACAGCUAGGAGAACAAACUGGGAUUAGAUACCCCACUAUGCCUAGCCGUAAAUAUUAACUCACAUCUACCAGCGCCAGGGAACUACGGGCCUAGCCUAAAACCCAAAGGACUUGACGGUGUCCCACCCGAUUAGAGGAGCCUGUUCUAUAAUCGAUAAUCCCCGCUCUACCCAACCUUUUUUUGCUUUUUCAGCCUGUAUACCUCCGUCGUAAACUCACCAUAUGAAUGUCUUAUAGUGCUGUUAAAUGUUUCACCAAUCAAAACGUCAGGUCAAGGUGCAGCCUAUAAAAAGGUAGUAAUGGGCUACAAUCUUCAAUUUUAAGCAAACAGAAUACUGUCUGAAACCCAGCUAUGAAGGUGGAUUUAAUAGUAAAGAGAAACUAGUGUAUUCUCUUGAAUACGGCCCUGGGAUACGUACACACCGCCCGUCGCCCUCUUCGAAAA